GGUGGGAGACGCAGUAGGCUAAUGGUUAGCGUGUUGGACUCCGGAUCGAGCGGUUCAGGUUCGAGCCCUGGCCCACUG
Molecule: non-coding RNA, 78 nt
Organism: Desmophyllum pertusum
Lineage: Eukaryota; Metazoa; Cnidaria; Anthozoa; Scleractinia; Caryophylliidae
Source: the annotation of a GenBank genome assembly